CUGUACUGGCUCAAGAGGACACAUGCUGCCCCAUCUGCAGCCUUGGCCCAGAGUGGUCCCCAGGCGCAGAGCGGAGCCGAGGAGGGGGCGGAGAACCAGAGACAGGGACACGACAGGAAAGGGAGCGGAGGGGUGACUAAAGGGCAGGAAGGCGCAGGCCACGAUUCCGCGGCACAAGCUCUCCCCCCCCAUCUAGCAGUGGGAAGAGCAAAGGUUGUGGACCCCUGUGACUUACUGCUGCGUGAUCCUGGGAGAGUGGCUUCACCUCUCUGAGCAUGUUUCCUCACCUACCCAACGGGGAUGCAAACCUACUUUGUGGGGCUGGCUGGUGGCGGCAGUGAAGGCCCCGCUGCUGCGAACGAGUAACAGCAGCCACAGCAGCAGCCACGAACACCACUUCGUGAGCAAGGACUUCAUUCCAAGGUCCUGUGUGCCAACUACUACCCCGCAUGACAGGCGAGACGUGGAGACACAGAGAGGGGAGAGAACAGCACAAGCCUUGGUGACAGGGAUGCAGCGGGACCACCCCCAGGACCCUUGAGGUCUCUCCUUCAUCCCUGCCAGGCUGGGGACACCCCUUUCCUGACCCAGUCCAGCCAGGAAAUCAAGUGUGAGGCACCCCUCUCUGUCGUGUGUUCCUUUCCCAUCUGACUCUUACCCUCCACCCCCACCAGGAAGACUUCUCGAAUGCGCCAGCCCAUAGUCUUGGCGUGCUCCUCUGACCCAGGCAUCACUGGUUCUCAAUUUGUCUAUUUAGUCAGCACCGGGCCUGCACCAACUUCACAGGGUCAUGUAUCUCUAUCAAACUGACUAGCAUUUGUUUGUUUGUAAGACACCCUUCUCAACACCAAGUCUAAUACAGGACAUACAGAGGUUGCCUGACCCAUAACUUACUUCUUAGCUUGGAGAACUCUUACUCACCCUUCAGAACCCAGACCAAAUGUCAUCUC
Long non-coding RNA from Panthera uncia (snow leopard), 950 nucleotides. RefSeq lists it as uncharacterized. The record is from RefSeq and is a predicted model, not a curated record. The transcript is spliced from 3 exons. Lineage: Eukaryota; Metazoa; Chordata; Mammalia; Carnivora; Felidae.